Molecule: long non-coding RNA, 2254 nt
Organism: Numida meleagris (helmeted guineafowl)
Lineage: Eukaryota; Metazoa; Chordata; Aves; Galliformes; Numididae
Exons: 3
Source: RefSeq, a predicted model, not a curated record
UCCACUGCCCUUCCCUCCUGUCUGCCCGCACGUUUCCGAAACUGUGAAGUCGGGGAAGGGCUUUUGUUGGUCACUUUGUGCACAGCAAAAAUGUGCCGCCAUGGAUGGAAUCUCAUUUUCCAAGGGUUCAAAGGGAGAGGCACACGCUGGGGGUGGACAAGCCCUGCGCCCUGCUGGGGUGCGCAGUGUGAACGAUUGCUUUGUGUAGCGGAAUCCUUCUUGGAAAUGCUUCCCAUGGGAUCAGUCGUGUUGAUUUGCCAUUUUUUCACAUUUCCAUUGAUAGAUGAGAUGGGAAACCCUUUGCUCUCCCUCCUUCUGCGCUCCUCCUCGUGGGCACGAAACCUCAGGGCUGUGAAAUCUACACCCUGAGCCGUGCUCAGGGCAAUAUUAACCCCAAAAUGAAACCUGCAUGUGAGGACCGGGUGAUGCACAGCUCAUGCACUGAAAAGAGUUUCGGUUUUGGUGAAAGGGUUGCAACAGCCCGGGUGCUGCCUCGCUCCUCCAACAUUACCUCAACGAGACCCCCCCACACUGCAGGGACACGUGAAACACUGCAAUAGAUGGUAACAAAAAAAUGCAAAUCCUGAUUGCAGCUCCGAUCGCAAGAGAGGAAAAAGGUCUGAAAUCAGAACCAAGCCUAUUACAUCUAAAUUCUGCAGGGCAGGUAAAAUCCUGGCUUGGUGACAGCGCUGUCAGGAGUGAGUCAUGUGUGUGACAUCACACCGGCACUGUGCAGGCGGUGGCUGAGGCAGCGGCACUUUCUGUGACGUGCAACCAGGAGCUCCAGCAAGGACAGCAGGACACCGGAGCAGAUGACGGGAUGUGUGGGGCUCGGCUAUUGCUACCCCACAUAGCCGAAAGAACUGCAGAGGAACGGUGGGGGGUGUCCCCCAGGGGAUGCUCUGCAGCAGGGUGGUGUCACACCUCAGGGAUGCUCUCCCAAAGCCCCGUGGAGGUGAUGGUGGUGGGGCACGAGCUGCUCUGUUUGUGCAUGCGACAAGCAGUGACAUCCCUGGGCUGCGUGUUAGUGUCCCAGCCAACCCAGGCUCUUCCAGGCACGUGCUCUGGUGAAUAUCAACUUAAGAAAAGAAACAUGCCUGGCAAGGUGGAACAGCUACAGGAUGUUUUCAUGGGGAGCUUUGGGAAAGCAGCUUUGGGUGGAGGAAUAAUUAAGUUUUUGGAUACCUUUCUCAGGUCUCGAGCCCUGAUGUGACCCCUGGCACUGCCACCCUGCUGGUGGCAAUCUGGGCAUCAGCGUGGCUCUGGCUCCCUGGGCUUUGGGCAUCACUUGUCCCCGGUGCGCCGGGUGAAGCUGAGCCUGAGAGGCAGAGAGGAGCCUGAAUUUCAGAAUUAUUACAGUGGUUUUGGUUAGAAACGUGACUGAGAAGAGGGCACACAAUGUACCACACCUAUCAGCCAAUUACUCCGCGCAGAACUCUCUCUGAGUCAUUUGACGAGUUUACCGAGAAAAACAAUUUUCUACUUUUGUCAGCAGCUGUGGCUGAGCGGGCGGUGAGGUUGCUCUGAUAGCAGCUCCCUGGUUUCUGUCGAUAAUGGAUUGCACUAAUUAAGAGAGAGCAGAGCAGUCAGAUUUUCGGGGCUUGGAUAAAGCACAGCAGCAGGUUUCCAUGCGAGCAGCAGCUAACUGAGGCAGGGACUGUCCUCAGGGCAACCCUUGGGUCUGCAGUCCCCAUUAGUUUCAAUGGGGCUUGAGAUGGGCUCUGGAUUUGAGGGUCAGGCGGUUGCCUGACAAUGACCCUUGACAUUUGGUGAGGAUCUUGGUUAGCUGCAGGAUCACCAGUGGUGAUGGCAAACUCUACCUCGUGCUUUUCUCAAACAUUUGCCCUCAGUUUGUGUGGAUGCUCUCCUGAAGCACAGCAGAAAUUGUUCCCUGAGCUCAGAUAUUGUCGCAGCUCUCCACUAUUGCAUCUGGAUUUUUCUUUUAUUAAAAUGAGUGCUGGCAUUUCUGUCAUUCAUGUCGUCUCAUUCUGGGGAUCUGUGUACGAAUCAUUAUCAGCUUCAGAUCUGAUAUGAUGGAGUACCUAAAACUGCUGUGAAAUGAGUAAUGCAACCAAAUGACAAACCGAGGAUGGUCUGCAAAGCAUUAUCAGCUCUUAUAGCAUGAAACUACAUUGAGAUGUGCUAUUGAAACAUACAUUAUCACUCUGAAAUCCUUUACUGGAAAUCUAGACUUUACACAUGCAUGCGGUCAGUCAUUGACAGAGCAGCUCCUAUUCAGGUCAGAGUAUCUUGG